This 1176-nucleotide long non-coding RNA is filed under the name Monodelphis domestica (gray short-tailed opossum). RNAcentral's name for it is "lncRNA (ENSMODG00000042927.1)". Lineage: Eukaryota; Metazoa; Chordata; Mammalia; Didelphimorphia; Didelphidae. The record is from RNAcentral.
CAUAGAAUAUGCCAUACUUGUAAUCAACUUCCUGUUUGGAACAGUCUCUUCCUUCUCUUCAUUCUACCCCCUGAGGUCCCCUGCCAUGUGGAGGCUAAUUGUUGCCUAAGGAAAGAACACUCCAGUCUUUACCAGUUGGUUUGUGAUUCUGAAGACACAGGGGCAGCUACCAGCAGCCUGAGUCCUGGGGCUGGCUGAGCGAAUCUGUCACAGAGGCCAAAUUGAGAGUAGAGUUUUUGGGCCUGAGGCUGGGGUUGGGUCCUGGGGCCAGGGCUAGGACCAGGUGAGUGAGAUGGCUGGAGGCAGGUGCAGGAGCUGGGGCUGGACCGGGACCAGCUUUUCUAUCUGCUCAAAAACCCCACAUCCAUAGCUACCACCACAGGAAAAGAAGAAAGCAAGAGGCAGAACUACCCAGAAUUUAUAUCCUGCCUACAUCAGCUUGUAAGUACAGGAGGAGAAUGGGAUGCUGGGAAUUGUAGUUCAAGGGUACAGAAUUCUAAUUACAGUUCCCAAAGCACUAUGUGGGGGUAUGAGAUUUGUUGUUUUGUCCUACUUUUCUUCCCUACUGUGUUUUAUUUUGGUCAUGUCAUUUGUCUCCCCAGAAAACCCUUGGUGGUCUUUCUCUUCCCUUCUCCACGCAAUAGCACCCAUCCUUGGUUGAGGAUCACACUAAAGAGCCUUCCCUGUGUCAAAACUUGUAGCACAGUAGGAUCUGAUUUACCCCAAGUUUAGUCAGUUUGAAAGAUGGAGACCCCAAAGCUUGCCCCUGUCCCCAUGAGAAUCCACCCUGAAGAGAGUCUUAGACCUUAAGUAUUUAAUGGACUUAGGUAGGUGUAGUUAACAAAUUUUAAUCAAAUGCUAAAAUAUCCUUCAGUCCCAUAACCUCUCUCCCAUUUAUCAGAGACCGUUUCCCUAGAAGACCUACACUAGGGACAUAGUAUUGUAAAUCACAAUUCCCUUACACCCUAGCCUCUAUGGUUCGUUUUCCAAGCUUGAUAUAGCUGGUCAGCUAGUUUGAACACCCAUUUCCUUGUAGCUAUAGUAAUGUCAAUCAAUCAUAUUUCCCUGUCCCUGGGUUUCCCAAAAGGUAUAUUGAGUUCCCCAAAUUCUUUUGUCAGUUGGAGCUGUCCCUUAGCACAUUGUCACUCCCAGGGAUAUUGUCCCCAGAGUCUAGAC